This 253-nucleotide ribosomal RNA is filed under the name uncultured bacterium. Its description in RNAcentral is "partial 16S ribosomal RNA". It matches the Rfam family "Bacterial small subunit ribosomal RNA", at positions 524 to 776 of the family's 1533-position model. The record is from RNAcentral.
UACGAGGGGAGCAAGCGUUGUUCGGAUUUACUGGGCGUAAAGCGCACGUAGGCGGCGACUCAAGUCAGAGGUGAAAGCCUGGAGCUCAACUCCAGAACUGCCUUUGAAACUAGGUUGCUUGAAUCGCGGAGAGGUGAGUGGAAUUCCGAGUGUAGAGGUGAAAUUCGUAGAUAUUCGGAGGAACACCAGUGGCGAAGGCGGCUCACUGGACAGGUAUUGACGCUGAGGUGCGAAAGCGUGGGGAGCAAACAGG